GACAGAGGAUGCAAGCGUUAUCCGGAAUGAUUGGGCGUAAAGCGUCUGUAGGUGGCUUUUAAGUCUGCCGUCAAAUCCCAGGGCUUAACCCUGGACAGGCGGUGGAAACUACCAAGCUGGAGUACGGUAGGGGCAGAGGGAAUUCCCAGUGUAGCGGUGAAAUGCGUAGAGAUUGGGAAGAACACCGGUGGCGAAAGCGCUCUGCUGGGCCGCAACUGACACUAAUGGACGAAAGCUAGGGGAGCGAAUGGG
RNAcentral lists this ribosomal RNA (252 nucleotides) under uncultured bacterium. Its description in RNAcentral is "partial 16S ribosomal RNA". It matches the Rfam family "Bacterial small subunit ribosomal RNA", at positions 524 to 776 of the family's 1533-position model. The record is from RNAcentral.